GCGGUAAUACGGAGGGUGCGAGCGUUAAUCGGAAUUACUGGGCGUAAAGCGCAUGCAGGUGGUUUGUUAAGUCAGAUGUGAAAGCCCGGGGCUCAACCUCGGAAUUGCAUUUGAAACUGGCAAACUAGAGUACUGUAGAGGGGGUAGAAUUUCAGGUGUAGCGGUGAAAUGCGUAGAGAUCUGAAGGAAUACCGGUGGCGAAGGCGGCCCCCUGGACAGAUACUGACACUCAGAUGCGAAAGCGUGGGGAGCAAACAGGAUUAGAUACCCUGGUAG
Molecule: ribosomal RNA, 276 nt
Filed under: uncultured bacterium
Lineage: Bacteria
Description: partial 16S ribosomal RNA
Rfam family: Bacterial small subunit ribosomal RNA
Source: RNAcentral